GGACUACUGGGGUUUCUAAUCCCGUUUGCUCCCCUAGCUUUCGCGCCUCAGCGUCAGUUGAGGUCCAGCACGUCGCUUUCGCCACCGGCGUUCCUUCCGAUAUCUACGCAUUUCACCGCUCCACCGGAAGUUCCACAUGCCCCUACCUCACUCGAGACACCCAGUAUCAAAGGCACUUUUCCGGUUGGGCCGAAAGAUUUCACCCCUGACUUGGAUGCCCGCCUACGCGCCCUUUAAGCCCAGUGAAUCCGAACAACGUUCGCACGGUUCGUCUUACCGCGGCUGCUGGCAC
RNAcentral lists this ribosomal RNA (292 nucleotides) under uncultured Planctomycetota bacterium. RNAcentral describes it as "uncultured planctomycete partial 16S ribosomal RNA". Lineage: Bacteria; Pseudomonadati; Planctomycetota. The record is from RNAcentral.